Molecule: ribosomal RNA, 528 nt
Filed under: uncultured bacterium
Lineage: Bacteria
Description: bacterial SSU rRNA
Rfam family: Bacterial small subunit ribosomal RNA
Source: RNAcentral
GAUGAACGCUGGCGGCGUGCCUAAUACAUGCAAGUCGAGCGGAAAGGUUCUGCACUUAGUAUUUGACCUUAGUAAGUCUACGGAUACUACUAAGAAAAGAUAACCUCUAGGCUAGAGGUUAUGUGUCGAAUGUUGAGUGUAGAAUACUCGAGCGGCGGACGGCUGAGUAACACGUAGGAACGUACCCCAAAGUGAGGGAUAAGCACCAGAAAUGGUGUCUAAUACCGCAUGUGCUCCACGGAGUAAAGCUUCGGCGCUUUGGGAACGGCCUGCGCAUGAUUAGCUUGUUGGUGAGGUAAUAGCUCACCAAGGCGACGAUCAUUAGCUGGUCUGAGAGGAUGACCAGCCAGACUGGGACUGAGAACGGCCCAGACUCCUACGGGAGGCAGCAGUAGGGAAUUUUCCACAAUGGGGGCAACCCUGAUGGAGCAACGCCGCGUGCAGGAUGAAGGCUCUCGGGUCGUAAGCUGCUUUUAUAUGUGACGAUUAUGACGGUAGCAUAUGAAUAAGGAUCGGCUAACUCCGUGC